Aegilops tauschii subsp. strangulata is the source of this 861-nucleotide non-coding RNA. Lineage: Eukaryota; Viridiplantae; Streptophyta; Magnoliopsida; Poales; Poaceae. The record is from RefSeq and is a predicted model, not a curated record.
UCCCCCAACCCUCGAGGCUCUUUCCCCUUCCCCCAACCCUAGCCGCCGCACGCAGCAGCCAUGGCGGACUGCACCUUCAGCGCCGGCAGCCGCCGCUCGUCCAUGCUGUGAAGCCAUCCCCGCCCUGCUCGCCUUCGUCCGCUGCUGUCGCGGACCAUCUCCUCCGUCCCCGACCACACAUCCCCGCCCUCGUCUGCCGCCAUCACCGACCGGCUCCUCCGUCCCCGACAAGUCAUCCCCGUCCUGCUCGCCGUCUUCCGCCAAAGAACCCGGCGGCUGUGUCGAUUCUCUGCCUCCCCGACCACCUCUUCCGAUUUUGCGAAGCUUGUUGCACUAUCCCAUGUGAAGAAGCAAUCUAUCUGAGAAAGAAAUUUUAAGAGGCUGGCCUAUUAAUUUUAAGAGGAUUUUUAACCCAGCUUUUUCUGUUUAGUGCUGGUUUGGCUUGCCUUAGCUUUUAUAUUUGAACAAUCAGGUUCACAAAUAGAUACCAACCUAGACACGAGCUGGAUAAACCCUAUCUGAUUUUGUUUUCUCCCCUUGAGAUUUGCAGGGGAGGUUGCAUUGCCCGGAGGAAAGGCAGAGGAGGGUGAUGUUGAUGAUGCAGCAACAUCAUUAAGGGAGGCAAAGGAGGAGAUUGGGCUUGAUCCAGCCUUGGUCACUGUCGUUUCCUCGCUUGAGCACUUCUUGCCCAAGUUGUUUCGUCGCUGCGAGGGUCUGGUGUUCAACGACCUCCCCGUGCGUUCAACGAGCUCCGCCCCGGCGUUCGUGGGUGAGCACAAAUGACAUCUCCUCCUCCCCCAAUCAUUUGUUAUGUUCCGGUCUUCAUGCCGAUGAAACAUGCUAGCUGUAGGUAGAUUGAAU